UUUGUGAGCGAAAUUUUUUAAGGGCGUCUGUGAAACUCUAGCUAUUCUCAUCAAUUCUAUUUCGCUCGGUCGCGAUUGAAACCUAUCGGAUGGUUUUCUGUGGGAAUUUUUUUUCUUUCUUAUUGAUCGAUUACAUGUAAUCAUCGAUCAAUGGAUUUUUAAAUGAUCAAUGGUAGAGUGAUUCCUUCUUUUAGCAAUGGAAGGACCCAUUGAAUUUGCAAAGCUAAAUAAACAGCCUAACCCAAAAUCUUUUACACCAGAUUUCUUUCAACUGAUUUUCGAAGAGAUCGAUUUUUACUUUAUAUGUAAAUCCAAUUUUAAUCAAAACGUUUUGGGCUCUCUAGGUUCGGUAUUGCAUUAUAUGAGUUUUCUGAUAUCUCUUCUUAGGUGUGGUGUUUCAAGUAUACUUGCCUAAUCCAUGCACAUUGAAAGGACACCUUAUGACGCAUUCUAGAUAUUUGAUGAAAUUACAAACAGAACUCUGAUAUAUAGUUAUAUAUUUCAUACCGUUGGAAACAAUAUCAGGAGAGAAAGAAUUCCGUUAAUGAAAGCCAUUAUAAGUGGGCCAGUCCAACUGGCUGGGUUCAUGUAGGGAUGGAUCCGGCUUUCGCUUAUGAAAAAAAAUUAGAUGAAAGGUAAAUCUGUGUUUAUCUUCUCUCCAUUUUUUUGUUAAAAUAUUCUACUCUGAUUAAAAAAUGAAAUGGUUGGUUAAUUGUUUUGUGGAACAUAUAGGGAUGUUUUCUAUCACAGGUAUAUGUGUUCAUACAGGUUCCGACAACAAAUUCUUCAUCGGAAUUUUGUGAAGUGGGUCUACUAUACAAGCAAAUGAGUUUGAUUAUGAAGACCGGUUCCUACAGGAGAAAUUAUUAGGGCAGUGCAGGGUACUAUAUAAAAAGUAAAAUUUUACAGGCAAAUAUUUCAGCAAUACGAAAGUGCAAAUGGCAAGCUGAACGCGACUGUUUAUAUUAGUGACUCAGUGAGUGAUUUGCUAUGCCUGCUUGAAGCUGAUACUGGGUCAAAGAUAAGAAGUAAGCAUGGUGUCAAUUUCACUCCUCUCCCUGGGAGCGUGAAUAAGCGGCAAGAAUUUGUCAAAAACAACUAAUCAUCUGGUUGGGAGGGUGUAUCUGGAGUUUGUUGGUUGGAUAGAUACGUACCAAACCAAAGAGCUCAUAAUGUUUCCUAUAAUUUGCCAAAAACAACUUUGGUCCGACUGUUGAGAUUGUUCGUCUUAACUAUGUUGGGUUACGUAAUAUUCAACUCUGGCCACUUAUUGCAAGUUUACUGGGGUUAUGUAAUUGGUGCCGGCUUAACAACUUUCAAUAUUGUGAUGCUAUUUUGUUAACCCUUUGCGUCAUUAGUAGCUUUUCAACCCAUUCUUGAGUGUCUUUACUUUUCUUAUUAGAUCCACAUUGAACGAAAAUCUUUAUUUUAGAAGAAUCUAAAUUUGUUGUUGUUAA
Long non-coding RNA from Papaver somniferum (opium poppy), 1457 nucleotides. RefSeq lists it as uncharacterized. The record is from RefSeq and is a predicted model, not a curated record. The transcript has 2 exons. Lineage: Eukaryota; Viridiplantae; Streptophyta; Magnoliopsida; Ranunculales; Papaveraceae.